AGAGCGAACGCUGGCGGCAGGCCUAACACAUGCAAGUCGAGCGCCCGUAGCAAUACGGGAGCGGCAGACGGGAUAGUAACACGUGGGAACGCGCCCUUCGGUUCGGAAUAACUCAGGGAAACUUGAGCUAAUACCGGAUACGCCCUUACGGGGAAAGAUUUAUUGCCGAAGGAACGGCCCGCGUCCGAUUAGCUAGUUGGUGAGGUAAUGGCUCACCAAGGCGACGAUCGGUAGCUGGUCUGAGAGGAUGACCAGCAUCACUGGGACUGAGACACGGUCCAGACACCUACGGGUGGCAGCAGUCGAGAAUUUUCUCAAUGGGCGAAAGCCUGAAGGAGCGACGCCGCGUGGGGGAUGAAUGGCUUCGGCCGUAAACCCCUGUCAUUUGUGAACAAUUAAUCUACCUAACAUGUGGAUUAUUGAUAGUAACGGAAGAGGAAGGGACGGCUAACUCUGUGCCAGCAGCCGC
RNAcentral lists this ribosomal RNA (469 nucleotides) under uncultured bacterium. Its description in RNAcentral is "SSU rRNA". It matches the Rfam family "Bacterial small subunit ribosomal RNA", at positions 26 to 518 of the family's 1533-position model. The record is from RNAcentral.